CAGUUUUCAUUUGUCAGCUGUCACUAACGUCAAUUUAGAACUAAGAGUGUAAUAAAAUUUGUUUUCAAGGCAAAAUCAACAAUUCCCUGCCAUAUUUGUUGUUUCUUUUACCUAUAUAACAUCUACACGUUGAAUGUUCUACCGGGAAUCCGAAGUAUUUACCCGUAAACAUACCUUUCGAAUUGAAACACGAAUGAUUUGACGACGAUGUCCGCGAGCGCUCUUGAGGGCGAAGACCUAGAUAACGUACGAUUAGUGCGUAUGGAGGAUGUCCAGCCGUCGCGCGAAGGGCGCAUUGAAAUAUUUGAAACUUGUAUUAUCGAUCAUAUAGAGUACGAUAACGAAUGCGUGAUAGGAGAUGAUCAGACCAACGUUGGCGGUAUAGUGUCAAUCCAAACUGAUGAAACAGAACAGAGCGCUUCUGAGUUUAUUGUUCCCGAAAUACUAGAAGUUCCAGUUUAUUAUUUCCAGGAAAACGAAAAACUAGAUGUAAUACCUCACACACCAGAUCGAUGGCCGACUCUCGAAAUUCUACCUGGAGGUGUCAUAAAACCAGCUGAUAAAGCUGACAAUCAGAACUCACGCAAAUCGAGAGUAACGUUAAAUAGUGAAAUGAUCUAUGCAUGUGCUAAAUGUUCACAGACAUUCAAGUUUCUUUAUUGCUUGGUUAAACAUGUAAGGUGGCAUGAAAAUGAACAGAAAGUCAAAAAGUCCAAUAUAGCUGAUCUAAUUUUGUCAAAGAACAGGAAAAAACAAGAUAAACAGGCCAACCUGAAUACGGGAACCAAGAAAGUUGUGAUUACAAAAAUGGUGACGAAACGGAAAAAGGCCAAUCAGAGAACGAAAAGACUGAAAACUUAGUUUUUAAAGUUCUAAGCUGUUAGUUUAGUUAAUAUAAGACCAUACUUGAAGUUCCAAUAAUUCCCAUUAAACACUCAAAAACUGUAUCCAAAUUCACAUAUACAUAUAUAGAUCGCUUACUAACAAUCAGUCACCUUUUUGUCAUCUGGAAGUCACAUCUCUGGGCCUGAUUUCUGUAAAGUUGUAGACACAAUCAUUUCCUUAUCAGUAACAUAAGUUAUCAUAUAACAUAAGCAUUAUGUAAUGCUAAAUAAUACACCAAUCCAGGUUCACAUAAAUACACAUAAAAAUCAUUAGGUUUUUUGUUCAUAUCAUUUUUUUAAAUCAUGAUCUAUUUAUUUUCUUUAAAGUCAGUUGUUUUUCGUUACUCAUAUUUCAUCAUGUUGCACACUUAUUUUUCCAAUAUAGAAUGGUACUUUCACUACUUAACGAGCAAUAAAUAACAAAAACUGCAUCAGUAUACAGUCAAACCUGGAUAAGUGAGAACUGGAUAAGUGAGAAAACUCUAUAAGUGAGAGUAAUAGCCAGGACCCGUCAUUUUUAGCUCCUAAAACCUCUAUUAGCGAGAAACAGAAACCUCUGUAAGAGAGAGUCGUUUUUGCCUCAUGGACCUCCGUGAGUGAGACUGCUACUUAUCUAUACCUCUAUAAGCGACAGUCGAGCUUUAUUUAUUUAUAUUAUUUAGGAAGAACAAAUGACAAAACAAAUUACAAAUUUAGCAUCUGCUAUUUUAUGACCCUAUCUUAACUUUCGUGGAACUUCUUAACAUUGUUUUUGUAUUGUUUUCUCGUCAAUAUUGAACCUAUUCUAUUUCGUGGAACUAAAUAACGUUGUUAUUUAUUCGAUUUCUUUUCGAAUGGACACGUGUCCCUGUGUACCGUCCUGUUUGUCUGACUUACUCAGUUUAUCGUUAAUCAAUUGCGAAGGAAAGUUCUGUUCUGCAUCAUGUUAAAACGGAAAAUCAAAGUACUGCCAUUAAGUGAUAAACUUAAAAUAGUGAAUGCGUUUGAAUCCGGGAAAUCGCGAAAUUAAAUUCAGAGGGUGCAUUAGCGAGAAACUCGGGUUAGUGAGAAACCUCUAUAAGCGAGAAUGAGAUUGUGCUCCCUUGAACUCUCGCUUAUCCAGGUUUGACUGUAUUCAUACACUGGAGGAAGCAAUGCAAAUGAUUUUUUCAAAGGAUUGAAUCCACCACAGCUUAAAAAUAACAAACUUAAUUUAUAGGUCAUCAACAUCUACGAUAACACAUGCUCAAAAUGUUAAAGCAUAUAACAUAUUUAUAAUAAUAAUAAAUAUAGAAUAACUAUGGUCUUAUAUUAACUGGGCUAAAAUAUUAAUCAAUAAGCCAAAUAAUGUUAUAAAGACACAUUUUUUUCUAAGAAACGUUGUCUGUUUGUACAUAACCACUGUCUGGAUGCAGCAAUCUGGCCCACUCGAUUUAUGGACGUCCAGGAGUCGCUCCCGCCUGACUGCAUGCACACUGUGUGAAAAUAUCGAGAAGAUAAGCUUUACGAAAGUUUAAGUAGCAAAAUUUGAGGUGCUAAUAAAGGUAGCAUACAGUAGUGCGAAUAAGUUAUAAAUAGUCUUAAAUCAGUUAUUUUUAUAUUUAAACUAAUCUUUUUUCCCGCGUUUUUGACAAAACUGUCAACUGUCACUGGAAUGUGCAAUGAACUUUAUACCUACCUACAUAUAAAUAAAUUUAUUGGUUCCUAGUUCUAUAUCUCUAAUUUAUUACAAGUAUGAAUUUAUUUGAUUAAACAAAUAUGAGUCGUUAAUACGUAUUGUAAAUACGUUUUCGUUUAGUUUGGCGUUUAUUCUUGUUGUUUGUUGUCGGUAAUGAAAUUCGAACGUUAUCGUGAGAUACAGAUACCUAAACGUAUAAUGCGUUGUAUCUACUUAUGUUUUGCAAUGUAGUAAUCGCCCCGAAGGACACUUACAGAUUUUAUAUUUCAAAGUAUUUUAUAUUAAGCAAGUUGUUCUUUCAGCUUAAAAAAAUAUUCUGUUUUAAGUAGGUAGAUUGAGCUGAAUUACGUAAAUAAUAGUACGCUAUUUUACUAGCGGGUAUAUACGGCUACGUAUGCGAUUGCGAUGCCCCCAUAUUGGUGUGUGUACACUUGCCUCAAAUUGUAAUAUGCGACCGUGUAUUUCACGUAAUGUUUGACAAUCAAUGCCAGAUAUACAUUGCGCAAAUACAUUGGUUUUAUCAGUUUUAUGCACAUCUUCCUUCGCCGAUCAAUGUGCUUAGUGAGAGUUUUUUAACGUUGUCAGCGCCCCUAGCGGCAAACGCAGUGGAGUUGUUCCAACUCCAUACAAAUUUGAGUUAACUUUUACGCGAUCGAGAAGUUAAAAAAGUCGCACUAAGCACACUGGGCGGGAUCACGUGUCAUAAACGCUUCUAGUCACCACUUCUCAUAAAAAUGCAAUGAUCCAAGUUACGUAAAUCGCACGAGGUGUCAGUCUGUCACUCUGUCUCUACCCAUUAUCGAGUUUAUUUGUUUUUAUUUAUUUAUUUAAAAAAUAAGAUUGUGUUUGUCUUUCUUUUUGUUAUAAUUUAGUUUUAGUAAAACCGUGAAAUAUAAUUUUGCAAUAAA
This is an RNA transcript of Bombyx mori (domestic silkworm), 3449 nucleotides long. RefSeq lists it as uncharacterized. Lineage: Eukaryota; Metazoa; Arthropoda; Insecta; Lepidoptera; Bombycidae. The transcript has 4 exons. The record is from RefSeq and is a predicted model, not a curated record.